RNAcentral lists this ribosomal RNA (265 nucleotides) under Anoxybacillus sp. ST4. RNAcentral describes it as "partial 16S ribosomal RNA". It matches the Rfam family "Bacterial small subunit ribosomal RNA", at positions 62 to 315 of the family's 1533-position model. The record is from RNAcentral. Lineage: Bacteria; Bacillati; Bacillota; Bacilli; Caryophanales; Anoxybacillaceae.
UCGAGCGGACGAUUCGAAAGCUUGCUUUUGAAUCGUUAGCGGCGGACGGGUGAGUAACACGUGGGCAACCUGCCCUGUAGACGGGGAUAACACCGAGAAAUCGGUGCUAAUACCGGAUAAUACGAAAUGUCGCAUGAUGUUUCGUUGAAAGACGGCGCAAGCUGUCGCUACAGGAUGGGCCCGCGGCGCAUUAGCUAGUUGGUGAGGUAACGGCUCACCAAGGCGACGAUGCGUAGCCGACCUGAGAGGGUGAUCGGCCACACUG